Molecule: long non-coding RNA, 5323 nt
Filed under: Homo sapiens (human)
Lineage: Eukaryota; Metazoa; Chordata; Mammalia; Primates; Hominidae
Description: HSALNT0098050
Source: RNAcentral
GGAAGCAAUCGGAUAGGCAUUUGCUUCAGGUGAGCAGAGGGAUGACUUUCUGUCCCACAUCUGUGAAGAUCAGCUGUUGGUUUACAUUGCCAGGGUGAAAUUCAACAGAACUAAUUUAGGGUGAAGAUCUUGAGGCCCACAAGGAAUUUCCUUGUGGGAAAAUUGUGAGGAAGAGCAAUCACUGCACCCAGCCACCUCUAUAUACAUGUACACAAAGCCACACAGUUUACACAGUCACAGGUAUUUAAGUACACACUAUUCACACACAAAUACAUAUAUAGACACACAUGUACAGUCCGUCCAAAAUAUAUGUACAUAAAAGCACACUAUUACACCUUCAUAUGUGCACACACACACACACCCAGACUCACUUCAUACACACAUAGAUACAACAGCCACAGCUCCCCAUCACCUACACACACACACACACACCUGGACACCCAGCUCUAAUAUAAUCAGAUAGAGAUAUGCAUGCAGACAAAUUUGCCUGUAUAGUCAAACACAUAGGCAAAUAGAGAACGAGACACCACAUGAACAAAGGCAAACCUACACACAAAGACACAGAGCACACUUACGCAUAUAUCUAUAGACCCACCAUGGCACAUAUGGGUAAGUGCACACAGGCAAACUCACACACACGAGCAUGCACAGGCAGAGAACACAAAUGUACACUCCCAGGUGUCAUAAAGAACAGCCCAGCUUCGGCUUGGGAACGUCACAUCAGACAAUAGGAACGGCUGCACCGCGCGUUUCCUCGGCUGCCAGCUUCCCAGCCACAGAGGAUGCCUCACCUGCUAUGUCAGCUCCCCUCUGCCCCACCUCACAAGAAGCUCAGAAGCUGAGGAGUCACAGAGAGACCUCCCUACUGUGUCAGAGGAAUAGGUCCUUCUGUCACGGGGCACAGGACCCUUGACCGCAAAAUGACCAUUUUAGGACCCAAAGGGACCUAAGAGAGUGCUCAGACAGCUGGCUGCGUUAGGAGCUACCUGUGGCUGCUGAAGAAGAGUUUGCGUCAAUUUAAAGAAAGAGCCAUUCAAGGAAUGAGGACCAUGACCUUGGCUGCACUGACCAGCUGGGCUCUGGAGACUCAGUGAGGCUGCCCAGCCACCAACAGGCCCUGCACAAUAGAUCCACGGACCCAGCAGUCAGAGGUGACCCUAGGGGUCACUGGCCCGUGGCUAAGGAGGAGGAGCACAGACCUGCGACCCCCUUUUCCCAUGGACCACCCAGGGAGGCUGAGCGGGGACUCUGAGCUCAGAUGGACAACCUCAGAGCCACUGGGAAUUUGCCUGAGGCCACUGGGGCCAGGGUUAAAUCCAUAUGAAGCAGCGCGGGCUGUGCACCUGCCAUUUUCUAGGCUCUGUCACAUGCAUCUUUCUGCCAAAUCUCAUGGUGAUCCUUCAAGAAUAGUACUAUUAAUCUCCCCAUUGACAGAGGGAGAAAGGGAGGCUCAGAGACGUUAAGUGUCUCACCAAAGCUCACACAGCUUCCAAGCAAUAGAACUUUACUCAGUACUCAGUACAGGUUAACAUUUAUUCAUUCACUCGAUAACCAUUUGCAGCACAGCUACCAUAUGCCAGGCAGUGUUCUAGGCACUUAGAAUACAUAGAUGAGCAAAACAGGCAAAACCUUUCCCUCAGGGCGUUACCAUUUGAGUGCCACCAUGCCACGGCUGGUACAGUUGCUAUUGAGACAAACAAAAUAAGACCCAGUUUUUGCCUUUGGGGAGUAGGUAGUCUAGUGGAGGAGGCACAUACACAGAAAAUUCCAAAGUACUGUGGAAAUCUCAGGGUACUUUGAUAGGGAUUACCAGAGGAGCUGUGAGAAUAAAGGCUGGAUAUCAGGGAAGGCUUCCUGGAAGAGGUGUUGCCUGAAAUGAGCCUGGAAGGAUCACUUAGGGACAGAAAAGUCAUUCCGUGUAGAAUUCAUGGUACAGCUUGAGCAAAGACACAGAAGCAGAAGGCAGGUUUUUGGUUCCAUGAACUCUACAUCUGGCUACAUACAAAUGGUGAAGAGGAACAGGGAGAAACAUGGUUGAAAAGAACAGGCUUGGACUUCAGGAAGCAGUAAAAUGAGCGAAUGCCAUUUAUGGUUACAAAGAUAACUCAGCUGGGGGCCAAACAGAGACUGAAAUGGAGUGGGUGAGGAUGGAGGCCGGGAGGAGAUGGCUGCAGAGGUCCCAGCAAUGACAGUGGUUGUGGGAAGGGGCAACCCCAAGUCUUGUGCUCCCAACUGCAAAUCCAGUGCUUUUUCUAAAAAAAUAUUUAAAUAAUUUAUUUAUUUUUGAGAUGGAGUCUCGCUCUGUCACCCAGGCUGGAGUGCAGUGACACAAUGUCGGCUCGUGCAACCUCUGCCCCCCGGGUUCAAGCGAUUCUCCUGCCUCAGCCUCCCAAGUAGCUGGGAUUACAGACGCACGCCUCCACGCCUGGCUAAUUUUUUAUAUUUUUGGUAGAGAUGGGGUUUCACCAUGUUGCCCAGGCUGGUCUCGAACUCCUGACUUCAAGUGAUCCACCCACCUCGGCCUCCCAAAGUACUAGGAUGACAGGCGUGAGCCACUGUGCCCAGCCUUAUUUUUUUUUUUAAUUUAUAUUUUCAGAGGCAAACGAUCCUUGCUCAUUAAAAAAAGGAAAUAGAAAUUCAAAACAAAAAUGCCUGUAUCUGAUGGGAAAGAUGAGCCCAAUGUUCUUUUUUAAAAAACCUUUAUUAUGAAAUAUUUCAACUGAACAUAUGCAGUUUAUAUUGUUAUAAAGCAUAACAAGCAAUCAAACAGCUGUGAACCCACCACUCCAUGUCAGAACUAGAACUUCCCAAAGCAGUCGGAGCUGAGGUGAGAUCCACUCUGAUGCCCUUCCCCAACUCCACGCCACCCCCCAAGACCUGACCACCUGAUUACUCUGGGAUUUCAUUUUUGUCUCGUUCCCUUGCUUUGCUUUAUGUCUUUACCAAAUGUGAAUGUGUGCCUAAACAAUACAGUGCUCGAUUUGCUUGUGUUUAAGCUUUAUUACAAAUAUAACUUUGAUCCUUCUGCUACUUGCAAUUCUAAAUUUGAUAUUACGAGUCUCAGCCUCAUCGGCGUUGAUGCGUGUGACCGACAUUGAUUCACUCUCACCAGUACGUGGUGUGUUCCGUUGCAUGCAUGCACCCCUGCUGGGGUAUCCAUUCUCCUGUUGGUGGACCUUUGGGUGGUAUUAGUUGCUGGUCAUCUCCAUGGUGCUGUCCUCUUGCAGGUCUCCAGGACACAUGUGCAUGAGUUCCUCUAGGAAACCACGGUGUACAACUGCUGGGUUGCAGGCCCAGGGUUCUUUCCACUUCUCUAUCCUCCCAAGUAGGGUCCAGCUGGCCUUAGUGCUGCCAUGCUGAGAGCUCUGGGAGGGGCAACCCAGGGCAGACAGGCCCAGGCCAGCCACCCUGCCCCAGGCAUUUCCCAGGACUCAUCAGGCACCCAGCGGCCCCUCAGCAGUGAGCAAUACCAGAAAUCUGCCAGCUGGCUACUAACUGGGUCACAAGAGAGUACUGCUGUCUCACUCAGGGUGCGUUCCAUUUCCUUCAGCACUUGCGCCAAGUAAGGCUGUGUUCACAGGCCACAAGACCCAAGGGAGAUGGAAAUCAGCUCACAGAUGCUGAGCUGACUGCACACCAGGCAGUGUGCAAAGCACCUUACACAUAUAACUCACUUAAUCCUCAUCCCUGACUGCACGAGGUGGGCACUAUUAUUAACCCCACUUUACAGAUAAGAAACUGAGGCGCAGGAAGUUGAAAAUUUUGCCCAGACCAACACGUACAACUUCAAAUCCAGACAGCCUGGCCGCUCUGCUCCUACUACUCUGCUACCCCAUCUCUCAAGAGGGGAAAAGGACUAGCUCCUUGCCCAAUCCUGAGGUUGUCAGCAUUCUUUUACUGGCAAGGAAAACAAAUGGAACUUCAAUGAAUAUAUGUAGAAAGAAAGACUUAUUAGCUGACAAAAAUCAAUAGAGAAAAGACAGGUUAGAAGCAGAUCUCAGGGCCCACUGGGUCCAGGGAGGCGAAAGCGCCCCUCCUUCUCCGUCUUCCUCCUCCACGUCUCUCUUUGUGCUGUUUUCAUUCUUUCCUAUUGCAAAAGGGCCUCCUCCCCUGGGCAGGUAGGUGGCUGCCUGCAACUCUCACCUCACCUUCUCACAGAUCUGCCUAUUUCUAUUUUAAAAUACAAACAAACCAAAAGCCAGAGAAGGUUCCUGACAGGCCCAGGAAAGGAUGUGAUUAGCUUAGUCUGGGCCACCUGCCCAUUUUUUAUGGACUAAAUGUUUGUGUGUCUCCAAAUUGGUAUGUGGAAGCCCUACCCCCAGUGUGACAGUAUUAGGAAGUGGGGCCUCUGAAAGGUCAUUAGGUUUCAAUGAGGUCAUGAGGGUGGGGGGAUCCAUGAUGGAAUUAGUGCCGUUAUAAGAAAAGGAAGAGACACCAGAGUUUUCUCUCCACCAUGUGAGGUUACAGCAAGAAGGCAGCUGUCUGCAAGCCUGAAGAGAGCCCUUACCAGGAGCCAAAUCUGCCAGCACCCUGAUCUUGGACUUCCAGAACUGUGAGAAAUAAAUUCCUGUUCCUGAAGCCACUCAGUCCGUGGGAUUCUAUUAGCAGUCGGGACUGACUUGGACACUGUUCCUGGAGCAACGCUAGUGGCCUGGGGAAGCUGGGCCCUGGGACUGGUGCAGGGAGGGCCACAGUCCCAGCCUAUAGCAGCUGAAGCUGCAUUUGUCCCCAGGAAGAGGACAUCACAGACACAACCCCAGAGGCAGUGGGAGGGGGCAUGAUUGAUUGGGAGCAAGGCAACAGUCUAACAGGGCCCAUCUGUGCCCAGGAGUGGGAGAAGCUCCUGGCCAUGAAGAGAGCCCUCACCAGAGGCCAAACCUACUAGGACCUUGAUCUUGGACUUCCAGCCUCCUCCCUGGAAACACGUGACAGCACAUAUGGGUGGUCUCCCUUCUUGAGCGAGGCCUGAGUCUUCACCCAGGAUCCAACUAGACUGAAAAGAACUGUCUCCCUAACAGCACUCCAUCAGCAUUCAGAGAAAAGAGAUUUCCACCUGGUGUUUUUAACCAACACAACCUCCUUCUACACCCUAACCCAUAGAGGGCCCUGGGACCAGUAUAAGAAGUGUGGGUGUUAAGCUGGGACUGCUAGAAGGAGCAGCAGCCCCAUGGGAGCAGGGCAGGAGGGUCCCCUCUUGACCUGCUGACUGCAAACACUGCAGCCGGAGAGACACUCACUCAGGCCACGGUGGGGAGGCCCAGGGGAGGCACGUGUCCUCAUUCUGCUAAGGCGAUAGGGCUCGGGCACAGGACAGGCGAUUUGA